RNAcentral lists this ribosomal RNA (460 nucleotides) under uncultured bacterium. Its description in RNAcentral is "partial 16S ribosomal RNA". It matches the Rfam family "Bacterial small subunit ribosomal RNA", at positions 338 to 795 of the family's 1533-position model. The record is from RNAcentral.
CCUACGGGAGGCAGCAGUGAGGAAUAUUGGUCAAUGGGCUUACGCCUGAACCAGCCAAGUCGCGUGAGGGAAGACUGCCCUAUGGGUUGUAAACCUCUUUUGUCAGGGAGCAAUUGGCGCUACGUGUAGCGUUAUCGAGAGUACCUGAAGAAAAAGCAUCGGCUAACUCCGUGCCAGCAGCCGCGGUAAUACGGAGGAUGCGAGCGUUAUCCGGAUUGAUUGGGUUUAAAGGGUGCGUAGGCGGAAUGCCAAGUCAGCGGUAAAAUCGCGGGGCUCAACCUCGCUCCGCCGUUGAAACUGGCGUUCUUGAGUGGGCGAGAGGUAUGCGGAAUGCGUGGUGUAGCGGUGAAAUGCAUAGAGAUCACGCAGAACUCCGAUUGCGAAGGCAGCAUACCGGCGCCCAACUGACGCUGAAGCACGAAAGCGUGGGUAUCGAACAGGAUUAGAUACCCCAGUAGUC